RNAcentral lists this long non-coding RNA (714 nucleotides) under Pomacea canaliculata. Its description in RNAcentral is "uncharacterized LOC112562249". The record is from RNAcentral. Lineage: Eukaryota; Metazoa; Mollusca; Gastropoda; Architaenioglossa; Ampullariidae.
GGUGGCUACGAGGUUGUUUUCUCGACACUUGACCUCUGUACACCUCGCCGUUCGUGUAGAAUAUAAAUGAGAGAAAUUUGUAAGUACUGGUGUGCCUCAGUGAAGCAGAUUUCAUCUACGAGUCUCGACUCUGAGUCAUUGUACAUCAGGAGUGACAACGAUAUCACGUCAUCAUGCGACACGUGCUGAUGGUUGUAGCGGUGCUGGUGGUGCUGUGUCAGCUGACUGCUGCUGCAGCGACUCGCGAUGACCCAGGCCAGUCACUUGUUGCUGCCGACAUCGAUGCUGAGGGGGAGGGAGGGUUGCUGCAUUCGUUGAAGAAACGAGCGGUGUUCCAGCGUCCGCGCCCCGGUAGAAGUAGCGCGACUUAUGCCACGACGACGACCGCAGCCGAGAUGGGACCAAAGACGAGGACCUAUUCUGGUGUGAGAGACAGUUACUACCGCCACUGAAAAAUGUCUUCUUCACCACAGGAAAUUAUGCUUUGUCUCGCCAUUUCCAUUCACAGCUUUUUCAAAUGUUCAGCUGGCGAUGUUUCUAUCUUUGACUUUGCACACAACAGUUUGAUGUGACAGUCGGUGGUGUUGAGACGAUGGCAGGACGAGAGAUGACGUGGACUGAAGCAAACAACAUGAUGUCACGUGUCCUCCAGCUGCUGUGAUUGUCUUUAGCAGUCUGCUGAUUUCACAAAAAUAAAACAUUCAAACUGAAAAA